GUUGAAACGCUAAUUCUCGUCCGAUCACCGAAGUUAAGCAACGUCGAGCCUGGUUAAUACCUAGAGGGGUGACCGUUUGGCAAUACCAGGUGAUGUAAG
Non-coding RNA from Acanthosepion pharaonis, 99 nucleotides. Lineage: Eukaryota; Metazoa; Mollusca; Cephalopoda; Sepiida; Sepiidae. The record is from the annotation of a GenBank genome assembly.